RNAcentral lists this ribosomal RNA (253 nucleotides) under uncultured bacterium. RNAcentral's name for it is "partial 16S ribosomal RNA". It matches the Rfam family "Bacterial small subunit ribosomal RNA", at positions 524 to 776 of the family's 1533-position model. The record is from RNAcentral.
UACGAAGGGGGCUAGCGUUGCUCGGAAUCACUGGGCGUAAAGGGUGCGUAGGCGGGUCUUUAAGUCAGGGGUGAAAUCCUGGAGCUCAACUCCAGAACUGCCUUUGAUACUGAAGAUCUUGAGGUCGGGAGAGGUGAGUGGAACUGCGAGUGUAGAGGUGAAAUGCGCAGAUAUCAGGAAGAACACCCGUGGCGAAGGCGGCUCUCUGGGACGGUACUGACGCUGAGACGCGAAAGCGUGGGGAGCGAACAGG